CGGGCUGGCCGGGCGAUCGCGUCGUAGAGAUACGUCGAGGAAAGUCCGGGCUCCACAGGACAGGGUGGUGGCUAACGGCCACCCGGGGUGACCCGCGGGACAGUGCCACAGAGAACAGACCGCCUCUACC
RNAcentral lists this RNase P RNA (130 nucleotides) under Actinomycetota bacterium. RNAcentral's name for it is "partial RNase P RNA component class A". It matches the Rfam family "Bacterial RNase P class A", at positions 1 to 136 of the family's 367-position model. Rfam says of the family: Ribonuclease P (RNase P) is a ubiquitous endoribonuclease, found in archaea, bacteria and eukarya as well as chloroplasts and mitochondria. Its best characterised activity is the generation of mature 5'-ends of tRNAs by cleaving the 5'-leader elements of precursor-tRNAs. Lineage: Bacteria; Bacillati; Actinomycetota. The record is from RNAcentral.